Molecule: ribosomal RNA, 311 nt
Filed under: uncultured eukaryote
Lineage: Eukaryota
Description: partial large subunit ribosomal RNA
Rfam family: Eukaryotic large subunit ribosomal RNA
Source: RNAcentral
AUAUCAGUAAGCGGAGGAGGAGAAACUAACAAGGAUUCCCGUAGUAACGGCGAGUGAACUGGGAUCAGCUCAAAUUUAAAAUCUGGCCUUCGGGUCCGAAUUGUAGUCUAAAGAGGUGCUAUCAUGCAGACGACGUGCGUACAAGUGUCCUGGAAUGGACCAUCACAGAGGGUGAGAAUCCCGUUUGGGUACACACAUUAAUCAUCUACGAGGUACUCUCUAAGAGUCGAGUUGUUUGGGAAUGCAGCUCAAAAUGGGUGGUAAACUCCAUCCAAGGCUAAAUACAACACGAGACCGAUAGCGCACAAGUA